AGGGUUUGAUUAUGGCUCAGGAUUAACGCUGGCGGCGUGCAUAACACAUUCAAGUCGAACGGUGAAAGGGACUUCGGUCCCCGGAGCAGUGGCGGACGGGUGAGUAACGCGUGAGUAACCUGCCUGUGAGAGGGGAAUAACAGUUGGAAACGGCUGCUAAUACCGCAUAAUGCAUAUUGGUUGCAUGAUCGAUAUGCCAAAGAGAGAUCGCUCAUAGAUGGACUCGCGUCUGAUUAGGUAGUUGGUGAGGUAACGGCUCACCAAGCCGACGAUCAGUAGCCGGACUGAGAGGUUGAACGGCCACAUUGGAACUGAGAUACGGUCCAG
This 327-nucleotide ribosomal RNA is filed under the name uncultured bacterium. Its description in RNAcentral is "bacterial SSU rRNA". It matches the Rfam family "Bacterial small subunit ribosomal RNA", at positions 8 to 334 of the family's 1533-position model. The record is from RNAcentral.